GAUGAACGCUGGCGGCGUGCCUAAUACAUGCAAGUCGAGCGAACAGACGAGGAGCUUGCCUCUCUGACGUUAGCGGCGGACGGGUGAGUAACACGUGGAUAACCUACCUAUAAGACUGGGAUAACUUCGUGAAACCGGAGCUAAUACCGGCAUAUAUAUUCAACCGCAAGGUUCAAUAGCUAAAGACGUCUUUGCUGUAACUUAUAGAAGGUUCCGCGCCGCAUUAGCUAGUUGGUAAGGUAACGGCUUACCAAGGCAACGAUGCGUAGCCGACCUGAGAGGGUGAUCGGCCACACUGGAACUGAGACACGGUCCAGACUCCUACGGGAGGCAGCAGUAGGGAAUCUUCCGCAAUGGGCGAAAGCCUGACGGAGCAACGCCGCGUGAGUGAUGAAGGUCUUCGGAUCGUAAAACUCUGUUAUUAGGGAAGAACAAAUGUGUAAGUAACUAUGCACGUCUUGACGGUACCUAAUCAGAAAGCCACGGCUAACUACGUG
RNAcentral lists this ribosomal RNA (497 nucleotides) under uncultured bacterium. Its description in RNAcentral is "partial 16S ribosomal RNA". It matches the Rfam family "Bacterial small subunit ribosomal RNA", at positions 28 to 507 of the family's 1533-position model. The record is from RNAcentral.